This 75-nucleotide antisense RNA is filed under the name Streptomyces ipomoeae 91-03. RNAcentral's name for it is "ASpks TB sRNA". It matches the Rfam family "ASpks TB sRNA". The record is from Rfam by way of RNAcentral. Lineage: Bacteria; Bacillati; Actinomycetota; Actinomycetes; Kitasatosporales; Streptomycetaceae.
CUUGACCGAGCCGAGCCGGAGCGGGCUGUCGUCCGGCCGGUUCUGGCCGUAGGUGGCGAGGAGGGCCUGGGCCUC